GCCGGCAGCUAGCUCUCUGCAACUCUCACAUUGUCGCCCACUGAAGCUAAGCAGGGCUGCGCCUGGUCAGUACCUGGAUGGGAGACCACAUGGGAAAGCUAGGUUGCUGCCGGAA
Molecule: ribosomal RNA, 115 nt
Filed under: Danio rerio (zebrafish)
Lineage: Eukaryota; Metazoa; Chordata; Actinopteri; Cypriniformes; Danionidae
Source: RNAcentral